Long non-coding RNA from Gossypium raimondii (Peruvian cotton), 664 nucleotides. RefSeq lists it as uncharacterized. The transcript has 2 exons. NCBI's taxonomy places the organism in Eukaryota, Viridiplantae, Streptophyta, Magnoliopsida, Malvales, Malvaceae. The record is from RefSeq and is a predicted model, not a curated record.
UCAUCACACCAAAUUUUAUCCUUAUCUUUUUCCUUGAAUCCAGUCAUGACAAGUGAGAGUCUAAGUUGGUUUCUACCUCCCUUAUUCCCGAAUUUUCCUUCACCGUCGUCCACCUUUUGCCCUAAACUAUAUCAAAAUUUUUAUUUUCCCCCUUGUUUCAUCAAAUUACCCCAAGUAGAAACAUUGCGUCAUUGAUUUCUUCAUAUUUUUUCCUAGUCGCAUACUUAACUUCCCCAUCAAGCUUGAUUCUGCUUUUAGAGCUAAAGAAAAAGAUGCUUUUUAAUUGGGCUCAAAAGCUAUCCGGAUUGUAGGUUUUCGUUGUCCAGACCGUUCCUAAGAGAGUCGGGUUUCCACUGGAGACUACUGGCGAGCUUUUAACUGUCAGAUGUACCAAUUCUUCUUCUAGGAGAGAGAUGUCAUCCCUCUCCAUAACUAUCUUUGUCACCACCCUACUCAGAACCCAACCACAACAAACCUGUUUCUUUGGGAGAGUACGAGAGAGCACUUUUGACUUACACCAAUGUAAACUUAAGUACUUUUUCUAUUUUUUUAUAUAGUUUGUUCUAUAUUAUUAGUUGCAGUUUUAUGUCUUUUAUACAUUGUGAUUAUCAUAUGAUGUUUAAUACUCAUGUUGAUUAAUGGGAACAUUUUUUAAAGGGAUAAA